RNAcentral lists this ribosomal RNA (253 nucleotides) under uncultured bacterium. Its description in RNAcentral is "partial 16S ribosomal RNA". It matches the Rfam family "Bacterial small subunit ribosomal RNA", at positions 524 to 776 of the family's 1533-position model. The record is from RNAcentral.
UACGUAGGGUGCGAGCGUUAAUCGGAAUUACUGGGCGUAAAGCGCGCGCAGGCGGUUCUUCAAGUCAGAGGUGAAAGCCCAGAGCUCAACUCUGGAAUGGCCUUUGAGACUAGAGAACUAGGGUACGGGAGAGGUGAGUGGAAUUCCGAGUGUAGAGGUGAAAUUCGUAGAUAUUCGGAAGAACACCAGUGGCGAAGGCGGCUCACUGGCCCGUUACCGACGCUGAGGCACGAAAGCGUGGGGAGCAAACAGG